Molecule: non-coding RNA, 26 nt
Filed under: Mus musculus (house mouse)
Lineage: Eukaryota; Metazoa; Chordata; Mammalia; Rodentia; Muridae
Source: RNAcentral
UGGACAUGAUCAGGUGAAAUUGUAGA